UACGUAGGCGGGAAAUUAAGUCAGUAGUGAAAUCCCACAGCUUAACUGUGGAACUGUUAUUGAUACUGGUUUUCUUGAAUAUAGUUGAGGUAGGCGGAAUGUGUAAUGUAGCGGUGAAAUGCUUAGAUAUUACACAGAACACCGAUUGCGAAGGCAGCUUACUAAGCUAUGACUGACGCUGAGGUACGAAAGCGUGGGGAGCGAACAGGAUUAGAUACCCUGGUAGUCC
RNAcentral lists this ribosomal RNA (229 nucleotides) under uncultured bacterium. Its description in RNAcentral is "partial 16S ribosomal RNA". It matches the Rfam family "Bacterial small subunit ribosomal RNA", at positions 568 to 796 of the family's 1533-position model. The record is from RNAcentral.